AGCAGCCGCGGUAAUUCCAGCUCCAAUAGCGUAUAUUAAAGUUGUUGCAGUUAAAAAGCUCGUAGUUGAAUUUCGGGACCAAUAUGCUGGUCGUGCCUUGGUACGUACUGUCAUUAUUGGUUUCUCCCUUCUGAAGAAUCACGAUGCCAUUAAUUUGGUGUCGUGGGGAAUCAGGACUGUUACUUUGAAAAAAUUAGAGUGUUUAAAGCAGGCUCGCGCUUGAAUACAUUAGCAUGGAAUAAUGAAAUAGGACGUUUGAUUCUAUUUUGUUGGUUUCUAGGAUCGACGUAAUGAUUAAUAGGGAUAGUUGGGGGCAUUAGUAUUCAAUUGUCAGAGGUGAAAUUCUUGGAUUUAUUGAAGACUAACUACUGCGAAAGCAUUUGCCAAGGAUGUUUUCAUUAAUCAAGAACGAAAGUUAGGGGAUCGAAGACGAUCAGAUACCGUCGUAGUCUUAACCAUAAACUAUGCCGACUAGGGAUCGGAUGAUGUUAAUUUUUUAAUGACUCAUUCGGCGCCUUAA
RNAcentral lists this small RNA (520 nucleotides) under uncultured Entrophospora. RNAcentral describes it as "SSU rRNA". It matches the Rfam family "Eukaryotic small subunit ribosomal RNA", at positions 569 to 1091 of the family's 1831-position model. The record is from RNAcentral. Lineage: Eukaryota; Fungi; Glomeromycota; Glomeromycetes; Entrophosporales; Entrophosporaceae.